RNAcentral lists this ribosomal RNA (1393 nucleotides) under Bipolaris sorokiniana. Its description in RNAcentral is "eukaryotic LSU rRNA". It matches the Rfam family "Eukaryotic large subunit ribosomal RNA", at positions 36 to 1446 of the family's 3401-position model. Lineage: Eukaryota; Fungi; Ascomycota; Dothideomycetes; Pleosporales; Pleosporaceae. The record is from RNAcentral.
CAGCAUAUCAAUAAGCGGAGGAAAAGAAACCAACAGGGAUUGCCCUAGUAACGGCGAGUGAAGCGGCAACAGCUCAAAUUUGAAAUCUGGCUCUUUCAGAGUCCGAGUUGUAAUUUGCAGAGGGCGCUUUGGCUUUGGCAGCGGUCCAAGUUCCUUGGAACAGGACGUCACAGAGGGUGAGAAUCCCGUACGUGGUCGCUAGCUAUUGCCGUGUAAAGCCCCUUCGACGAGUCGAGUUGUUUGGGAAUGCAGCUCUAAAUGGGAGGUAAAUUUCUUCUAAAGCUAAAUAUUGGCCAGAGACCGAUAGCGCACAAGUAGAGUGAUCGAAAGAUGAAAAGCACUUUGGAAAGAGAGUCAAACAGCACGUGAAAUUGUUGAAAGGGAAGCGCUUGCAGCCAGACUUGCUUGCAGUUGCUCAUCCGGGCUUUUGCCCGGUGCACUCUUCUGUAGGCAGGCCAGCAUCAGUUUGGGCGGUGGGAUAAAGGUCUCUGUCACGUACCUCUCUUCGGGGAGGCCUUAUAGGGGAGACGACAUACCACCAGCCUAGACUGAGGUCCGCGCAUCUGCUAGGAUGCUGGCGUAAUGGCUGUAAGCGGCCCGUCUUGAAACACGGACCAAGGAGUCUAACAUCUAUGCGAGUGUUUGGGUGUCAAGCCCGAGCGCGUAAUGAAAGUGAACGGAGGUGGGAACCCGCAAGGGUGCACCAUCGACCGAUCCUGAAGUUUACCGGAAGGAUUUGAGUAAGAGCAUGGCUGUUGGGACCCGAAAGAUGGUGAACUAUGCUUGAAUAGGGUGAAGCCAGAGGAAACUCUGGUGGAGGCUCGCAGCGGUUCUGACGUGCAAAUCGAUCGUCAAAUUUGGGCAUAGGGGCGAAAGACUAAUCGAACUAUCUAGUAGCUGGUUCCUGCCGAAGUUUCCCUCAGGAUAGCAGUAACGUAUUCAGUUUUAUGAGGUAAAGCGAAUGAUUAGAGGCAUGGGGGUUGAAACAACCUUCACCUAUUCUCAAACUUUAAAUAUGUAAGAAGCCCUUUGUUACUUAAUUGAACGCGGGCAUUUGAAUGAAACGUUAUUAGUGGGCCAUUUUUGGUAAGCAGAACUGGCGAUGCGGGAUGAACCGAACGAGGGGUUACGGUGCCGGAGUACACGCUCAUCAGACACCACAAAAGGUGUUGGUUCAUCUAGACAGCAGGACGGUGGCCAUGGAAGUCGGAAUCCGCUAAGGAGUGUGUAACAACUCACCUGCCGAAUGAACUAGCCCUGAAAAUGGAUGGCGCUCAAGCGUGUCACCUAUACCCCUCCGCCGGGGCAAAAUUUACGCCCCGGCGAGUAGGCAGGCGUGGAGGCUCGUGACGAAGCCUUGGGGGUGACCCCAGGUCGAACGGCCUCUAGUGCA